RNAcentral lists this long non-coding RNA (340 nucleotides) under Chinchilla lanigera (long-tailed chinchilla). Its description in RNAcentral is "lncRNA (ENSCLAG00000026392.1)". Lineage: Eukaryota; Metazoa; Chordata; Mammalia; Rodentia; Chinchillidae. The record is from RNAcentral.
GCCAACUACAGGAAGAGGUCUCGUCACCAACGUGACUGCCCACGUCUGCUCACACACGUAGCUUCUGGUGUACAACUCAAAAAAAGAAAAAAGGAGAAAAAAAAAAAAAGGCUGGUCAACCUUGUAAGGAUGCAAGGGUGGAGGGAACCAACAAAAACCAGCUGUGAGGAUGUGCUUACAGUGAUGGGUAUAUUUUUAUUCAGCACAGGUUCUACAAGAGUAAGCAGUAAUUAAAACAACUAAGAAGCCUGGACAUAGAACAGGAGAAGUUCCCACAUGUCAGCCCCUGCUGGAACAAACAAUAGUCAUAAAAGGGAAAAGACCAAAUAUAUGUCCACCU